This is a long non-coding RNA of Ctenopharyngodon idella (grass carp), 634 nucleotides long. RefSeq lists it as uncharacterized. The record is from RefSeq and is a predicted model, not a curated record. NCBI's taxonomy places the organism in Eukaryota, Metazoa, Chordata, Actinopteri, Cypriniformes, Xenocyprididae. The transcript has 6 exons.
UUUGUUAUCGCGACAAUCCAUCACUGCGCAUGCGCAAGGACUAUAUAACGCGUGUUCGCCUGUUCGUUCUUCCCAGUUCCUUCCUCUUUCUUCAGGUAUGUGGGCUGUUGGGAAAAUGGAGCUUUGCUCUCGUGCAUACUCUAAUCUCGACCACGCUGAAAACCAAAUGGAGAACUUCACGUUCAUCAGGCUUUGUUUCAUAAAUCUUACACACAAUCAAACAGAUCAUGCAGAACCAAAUGGAUAACUUCACAUUCAUCAGGCUUUGUUUCAUAAGUCUUACACACAAUCAAACAGGAAGAAUUAUGUAAUUCAAGAGGACCCUUUACAUGAUGAGUGACCCUUGAUGGAUGGCAGCAACCUGUGAAGGGCUUUGAAAGACUUAUACCCCGAAGGCCCUUCAGUGCCAAACCUACAUGGAGAAGUGCAUAAUGGCUCUCUGCUAAGCAGUCCACAUUUACCAAUAAUGGGGAAGAACCUGAUUUGCUUUUUUUUUUUUUUUUUUUUUUUUAAAGAACAGUUGCCUUUUAAUUCUGAGCUGCGAAUGUUCCAGGAUGUUUAAGUGAAUAAUUUAACUUAUUUCCCCUGGAGCUUGUACUUCCUAAUUGUUUUUACAAUAAACUCAAAAUAUCAA